RNAcentral lists this long non-coding RNA (606 nucleotides) under Rattus norvegicus (Norway rat). RNAcentral's name for it is "long non-coding RNA NONRATT005164". The record is from RNAcentral. Lineage: Eukaryota; Metazoa; Chordata; Mammalia; Rodentia; Muridae.
UAUCUUGGGGACCUGCUGUUACCUCCUCAGUCUGAAAAGAAGGUGCAGGGAUGAGCAGAGGGCUCAGUCAGUAGGGCUGAGAAGUUCUGUUAGUGCUGCUUUAGCUGCUUGACACCUCCUGGUCAUCUUAACUAAGACAGUGGUGAGGUUACAUGCGAUGUACUCUCUUUUACAUUAGUAGCUGUGGCUACCAGCCACAUGGUUGCUAUUUAACAUCAUUUAUUUUCCUAAAUAAGAGUCAAGUCACACAUAAAACACACUAAGAUUACCUAUGUGUAGUAGGUUUUAAUACGCUUGGCCCAUGGGAAGUGGCACUAUUAGAAGGCGUGGGCUUAUUGGAGGAGGUAUAGCCUUGUUAAAAGAAGUAUGUCACUUGGGGGUGGGUUUUGAGGUUUCCUCCACCCAGCUCCACCCAGUGUGGAAGAAAACCUCCUCCUUGUUGCCUGUGGAAGCUAGUCUCUGGCUCCCUUUGAAUCAAGCUGUAGAACUCUCAGUUCCUUCUCUAGCACCAUGUCUGCCUGGAUGCUGCCAUGCUUUCUGCCAUGAUGAUAGUGGACUGAACUUUGGACCUGUAAGCCAGCCCCAACUAAAUGUUUACCUUUAAAA